GAUGAACGCUGGCGGCGUGCCUAAUACAUGCAAGUCGAGCGAACGGACGAGAAGCUUGCUUCUCUGAUGUUAGCGGCGGACGGGUGAGUAACACGUGGAUAACCUACCUAUAAGACUGGGAUAACUUCGGGAAACCGGAGCUAAUACCGGAUAAUAUUUUGAACCGCAUGGUUCAAAAGUGAAAGACGGUCUUUCUGUCACUUAUAGAUGGAUCCGCGCUGCAUUAGCUAGUUGGUAAGGUAACGGCUUACCAAGGCAACGAUGCAUAGCCGACCUGAGAGGCGGAUCGGCCGCCCUGGAACUGAGCCACGGUCCAGACUCCUACGGGAGGCAGCAGUAGGGAAUCUUCCGCAAUGGGCGAAAGCCUGACGGAGCAACGCCGCGUGAGUGAUGAAGGUCUUCGGAGCGUAAAACUCUGUUAUUAGGGAAGAACAUAUGUGUAAGUAAAUGUGCACAUCUUGACGGUACCUAAUCAGAAAGCCACGGCUAACUACGUG
Molecule: ribosomal RNA, 497 nt
Filed under: uncultured bacterium
Lineage: Bacteria
Description: partial 16S ribosomal RNA
Rfam family: Bacterial small subunit ribosomal RNA
Source: RNAcentral